Molecule: ribosomal RNA, 449 nt
Filed under: Fornicia sp. 1 SY-2020
Lineage: Eukaryota; Metazoa; Arthropoda; Insecta; Hymenoptera; Braconidae
Description: partial large subunit ribosomal RNA
Source: RNAcentral
UCACCUGUUUUUCAAAAACAUGUCUUUUUGAAUUUAAUUUAAAGUCUAAUCUGCUCCAUGAAUAAAUUUUAAAUAGCUGCAGUAUUAAUAACUGUACAAAGGUAGCAUAAUAAUUAGUCUUUUAAUUGGAGGCUAGAAUGAAUGAUUAAAUGAGAUAAAAACUAUAUUAAAUUUUAAAAAUUGAAUUUUUUUUUAAAUUAAAAAAUUUAAAUUAAAUUUAAGGACGAGAAGACCCUAUAGAAUUUUUAGAAUAUUUAAAUUAAUUUAUUUAUAAAUUUAAAUUAUUUUUUUAAUUGGGGAAAUUUUAAAAUUUAUAUAAUUUUUAAUUAAAAUUUAACAUUAAUAUAUGAUUAAUUAAUAGUUUAUAAAAAUAAAAUUUUAAAUUACCUUAGGGAUAACAGCAUAAUUUUUUUAAAAAGUUCAAAUUUGUAAAAAAGUUUAUGACCUCG